GAGCUCUCGCUUCAGCAAGCACAUAUACUAAAAUUGGAAUGAUAAACGGAAGAUUAGCAUGGCCCCUGCACAAGGAUGAUACACAAAUUAGUGAAGUGUUCCAUAUUUAA
RNAcentral lists this small nuclear RNA (110 nucleotides) under Catagonus wagneri (Chacoan peccary). The record is from RNAcentral. Lineage: Eukaryota; Metazoa; Chordata; Mammalia; Artiodactyla; Tayassuidae.